UAGGGAAUCUUCCACAAUGGACGCAAGUCUGAUGGAGCAACGCCGCGUGAGUGAAGAAGGCUUUCGGGUCGUAAAACUCUGUUAUUGAAGAAGAACGUGUGUGACAGUAACUGGUCAUGCAGUGACGGUAUUCAAUCAGAAAGUCACGGCUAACUACGUGCCAGCAGCCGCGGUAAUACGUAGGUGGCAAGCGUUGUCCGGAUUUAUUGGGCGUAAAGCGAGUGCAGGCGGUCUUUUAAGUCUGAUGUGAAAGCCUUCGGCUUAACCGAAGAAGGGCAUCGGAAACUGGGAGACUUGAGUGCAGAAGGAGGAGA
RNAcentral lists this ribosomal RNA (314 nucleotides) under uncultured bacterium. RNAcentral describes it as "partial 16S ribosomal RNA". It matches the Rfam family "Bacterial small subunit ribosomal RNA", at positions 355 to 661 of the family's 1533-position model. The record is from RNAcentral.